AGGACGAACGCUGGCGGCGUGCCUAACACAUGCAAGUCGAACGAGGUCCAACCGGUAGCAAUACCGGUGAAGACCAAGUGGCGAACGGGUGAGUAGCACGUGAGCAACCUACCCCGAAGACCGGGACAACACCGGGAAACCGGUGCUAAUACCGGAUAUCCCCACCGAGUCGCAUGGCUUGGUGAGGAAAUGGAUUCCGCUUCGGGAGGGGCUCGCGGCCUAUCAGCUAGUUGGUGAGGUAACGGCUCACCAAGGCUUCGACGGGUAGCUGGUCUGAGAGGACGAUCAGCCACACUGGGACUGAGACACGGCCCAGACUCCUACGGGAGGCAGCAGUGGGGAAUCUUGCACAAUGGGCGAAAGCCUGAUGCAGCAACGCCGCGUGAGGGACGAAGGCUUUCUGAGUUGUAAACCUCUUUCAGCAGGGACGAUGAUGACGGUACCUGCAGAGAGCCCGCAACUCGUGCCAGCAGCCGC
RNAcentral lists this ribosomal RNA (477 nucleotides) under uncultured bacterium. RNAcentral's name for it is "SSU rRNA". It matches the Rfam family "Bacterial small subunit ribosomal RNA", at positions 26 to 518 of the family's 1533-position model. The record is from RNAcentral.